CAGUGCCGCGGUAAUACGGAGGGUGCAAGCGUUAAUCGGAAUUACUGGGCGUAAAGCGCACGCAGGCGGUCUGACAAGUCAGAUGUGAAAUCCCCGGGCUUAACCUGGGAACUGCAUUUGAAACUGUCAGGCUGGAGUCUUGUAGAGGGGGGUAGAAUUCCAGGUGUAGCGGUGAAAUGCGUAGAGAUCUGGAGGAAUACCGGUGGCGAAGGCGGCCCCCUGGACAAAGACUGACGCUCAGGUGCGAAAGCGUGGGGAGCAAACAGGAUUAGAUACCCCGGUAGUCCCUGUCUCUUAUACA
RNAcentral lists this ribosomal RNA (301 nucleotides) under uncultured bacterium. RNAcentral describes it as "partial 16S ribosomal RNA". It matches the Rfam family "Bacterial small subunit ribosomal RNA", at positions 509 to 808 of the family's 1533-position model. The record is from RNAcentral.